This 161-nucleotide unclassified non-coding RNA is filed under the name soil metagenome. RNAcentral's name for it is "partial internal transcribed spacer 1". The record is from RNAcentral.
AAGAGACGUUGCCCUUCGGGGUAUACCUCCCACCCUUUGUUUAUCAUACCUUUGUUGCUUUGGCGGGCCCGUCCUCGGACCACCGGCUUCUGCUGGUCAGUGCCCGCCAGAGGACCUAAAACUCUGUUUGUUAAUAUUGUCUGAGUACUAUAUAAUAGUUA